UACGUAGGGUCCGAGCGUUGUCCGGAAUUAUUGGGCGUAAAGGGCUCGUAGGCGGCCAACUAAGUCGGAUGUGAAAUCCCCAGGCUCAACUUGGGAACUGCAUCCGAUACUGGAUGGCUUGAAUUCGGGAGAGGGAUGCAGAAUUCCAGGUGUAGCGGUGAAAUGCGUAGAUAUCUGGAGGAAUACCGGUGGCGAAGGCGGGUCUCUGGGCCGUAACUGACGCUGAGGAGCGAAAGCGUGGGGAGCGAACAGG
RNAcentral lists this ribosomal RNA (253 nucleotides) under uncultured bacterium. Its description in RNAcentral is "partial 16S ribosomal RNA". It matches the Rfam family "Bacterial small subunit ribosomal RNA", at positions 524 to 776 of the family's 1533-position model. The record is from RNAcentral.